This 448-nucleotide small RNA is filed under the name Pan troglodytes (chimpanzee). RNAcentral's name for it is "retained intron". Lineage: Eukaryota; Metazoa; Chordata; Mammalia; Primates; Hominidae. The record is from RNAcentral.
CUCCUCCCCAUGGUGAGGUGAGAGGCGCAGGUUUGUGGCUGCCCAAGUCCCUCAGAGAUGGUGAGUAGCAGAAGCUGGGAUUGGAACCCAUGUUCCUGCAUCUGGGCUGGGGCAGACAGGGAGGGAUGAGGCAAGCAAAUGGAUCCAUGGGGUAGAGAUGGACAAGCAACUCACACCUGGGCCUUGGUCAGUUUCCCCCACAGACUGCUGCUUCCCCGGAUGAGCAGAAGGUGUUUGCCCUCUGGGAGUCUGGAGACAUGAGUGAUCAGCAUCGACAGGUUUUGCUUGAAAUUUUUUCCAAAAAUUACCGGGUACGCCGAAACAUGAUCCAGUCUCGGUUGACUCAAGAGUGUGGAGAAGAUCUCAGUAAACAGGAGGUGGAUAAAGUACUAAAGGACUGCUGUGUAAGCUAUGGUGGCAUGUGGUACCUUAAAGGGACAGUACAGUC